This 87-nucleotide transfer RNA is filed under the name Pseudomonadales bacterium. Its description in RNAcentral is "tRNA-Leu". It matches the Rfam family "tRNA". Rfam says of the family: Transfer RNA (tRNA) molecules are approximately 80 nucleotides in length. Their secondary structure includes four short double-helical elements and three loops (D, anti-codon, and T loops). Further hydrogen bonds mediate the characteristic L-shaped molecular structure. tRNAs have two regions of fundamental functional importance: the anti-codon, which is responsible for specific mRNA codon recognition, and the 3' end, to which the tRNAs corresponding amino acid is attached (by aminoacyl-tRNA synthetases). tRNAs cope with the degeneracy of the genetic code in two manners: having more than one tRNA (with a specific anti-codon) for a particular amino acid; and 'wobble' base-pairing, i.e. permitting non-standard base-pairing at the 3rd anti-codon position. RNAcentral also lists the same sequence under 1 other name. The record is from RNAcentral. Lineage: Bacteria; Pseudomonadati; Pseudomonadota; Gammaproteobacteria; Pseudomonadales.
GCCCGGGUGGUGGAAUUGGUAGACACAAGGGACUUAAAAUCCCUCGGCUUAACGGCCGUCCCGGUUCAAGUCCGGGUCCGGGUACCA